GUUAGUGACAUAUUACUCCUUACCGCAUCCCGUCAGAUCUGCGCAGUCAAACAUUGUAGGGCCGAAGCAGUAGUGCGGUGGGGGACCACGUGUGAAUACUCUGGUGCCCCAGGUA
Molecule: non-coding RNA, 115 nt
Organism: Melampsora larici-populina 98AG31
Lineage: Eukaryota; Fungi; Basidiomycota; Pucciniomycetes; Pucciniales; Melampsoraceae
Source: Rfam